GAGGGAAAUGCCAAAAGUUGGUGGGAAUUUUCUCCUCCCUCAUCUGAGAGAUGGAUUUGCUGGGGCUGUAAGAGGUUCUCCAGGGUCUGCCAGAGGAUCUCAAUGGAAAUCACUUUAAUUUGAGGAGAAUCCUUUCUGUUCUCAAAGCAUUAUUUUGAGCCAAUUCUUUCCUGCUGUGUGAUUUUUGCAAUAUGAAGACUUGACACAGAAUUGUCCUGUGGGUAAAGGCUUGGCCAGAGGCUGGAAGGAGAAGUAUUCAGAAACAGUUUUUGUUUGAUUUUGGAUGUUCCUCUAGGUUUUCCCUGUCACUUAACCUCCUGUCUGUGACAUGGGAAAUUCUUUUUCUUGCCUUAGUGGGCUUCUAUAAGAAUAUAUACUUAGAGAGUCAUGAGAACUGCAAACUGUGGGGCUUGGCCAGGAGCACAGAGGAGCACUCUGGAGCAGCCAGCAGAGAUGGAAGUGUUCCCUUCUGUGACCACGGUCCCAGUUUGCAGGCUGCCUUCACAAUCAGGUCUCCUGGUGCCAAUGGUGACCAGAAGUUUCUGCUGCUCCCGAGACAGCACCAAAACUCUGCAGCGCCGGUUCCAGAGACAGCAGCACAAGAAAGUGUGAGCAGUAUUCAUCCACUGCUGUGGAGGGAGCUGUGAUUUACAGUGGUCUGCGGUGCCUAGAACACAAAAAUGAAUAUUUAAA
Molecule: long non-coding RNA, 693 nt
Filed under: Parus major (Great Tit)
Lineage: Eukaryota; Metazoa; Chordata; Aves; Passeriformes; Paridae
Description: lncRNA (ENSPMJG00000005954.1)
Source: RNAcentral